ACUUCCUUGUGCGGUGUUUCCGGGACAAUACGUCAUGGGUACCUUCAAAAAAAGCGCGUACACCUUCCUCAGGGGUGGGACAGUCGCCUUAUAGAGACGUUUUCAGGAAACUGUAGUGCCAUCUGAUAGUUGGCCCCAAUAUUAAAGCUUUGUCAGCUGUCACUCGCUUUGAAACCUGCCCACUGGUCAUAAAAUGGCGGCUACUCUCGUGUUUUCCAUUUUGCAUAUUUUUGGUAUUGAAAUCAAAGUGUUAGUGCGUCAAGUCGAGCCUUGUUUUCCUCCGCCUUGCUGUUGCGAAUUCAUCCAAAAAUCUCCUUAUUCUGUGUAUUUCUACUUUUUGUGAUAGAGACACUUUUGUUUGUGGAAUUUAUGAACUUUGGUGUAAUGCCGAGACGUUGUGCUUUCGGUUGUGCGCUCCGUGAGAUUCCAAUGCAUAGUUUCCCAGAUGCUGUCAAAUUCCUGAGAAGUUUAAAACUUGGGUCAGUCUUGUUGGUGGAAACCCUCAAACAUCUGAUCUUGAAUGUUAUAAGAAGAACAGAAUUUGUGAUAUACACUUUUCUGACAGACACAGAAAUCAUAAUCAAUGGCUAAGCACAUUGGCAGUUCCGAUGCUUCAUCUGCUUGGACAAGUUCAGAGUCAAGUAAUCUUAGGACAAGCUUCAUCCACACAACAUUUACUGCCUACAAUAAUACAGCAAGACUGUUCAGAGCCAUAUGUGAGCAACUUUAUUUUAGAAAAAGCAUCAACUUCAACAACAUUCCAAUCUGUGGCUGCAGAUGCAUCUCAAGGUGCUUGAUGCUGGAACAUAAUUAUAGUUUUAUUAGCAAGCCUAAAAGAACAGCUGGAAAAGAUCUAAUGGCUCCACAGCGCACAAAGAUCAAGCAUCUUCAAGCAGAAUAUCGCGCUUGCGAAAAAAAAGACUAUCUUUCAAAGCGAGAUUAAAAGGUGGUGCAGAUCGAUCAAUCGAAUUUUGUCAGGAAAAUUAACAUAUGUGGGUGAAGACGAAACAAAAACAGCUGCCCAACAAUAUUAUGAUAAACAUAAAUAUUAUAAAAAUAAAAAAUAAUAUGCAAA
Molecule: long non-coding RNA, 1075 nt
Organism: Leptidea sinapis
Lineage: Eukaryota; Metazoa; Arthropoda; Insecta; Lepidoptera; Pieridae
Exons: 6
Source: RefSeq, a predicted model, not a curated record